GCCUGGCUGACUCAGUCAGAAGAGCAUGGGACUCUUAAUCUCAGGGUUGUGAGUUCAAGCCCCAUGUUGGGUG
RNAcentral lists this transfer RNA (73 nucleotides) under Canis lupus familiaris (dog). It matches the Rfam family "tRNA". From Rfam's summary of the family: Transfer RNA (tRNA) molecules are approximately 80 nucleotides in length. Their secondary structure includes four short double-helical elements and three loops (D, anti-codon, and T loops). Lineage: Eukaryota; Metazoa; Chordata; Mammalia; Carnivora; Canidae. The record is from Rfam by way of RNAcentral. RNAcentral also lists the same sequence under 1 other name.